RNAcentral lists this ribosomal RNA (429 nucleotides) under Bacteroidota bacterium. RNAcentral's name for it is "Bacteroidetes bacterium partial 16S ribosomal RNA". It matches the Rfam family "Bacterial small subunit ribosomal RNA", at positions 355 to 776 of the family's 1533-position model. The record is from RNAcentral. Lineage: Bacteria; Pseudomonadati; Bacteroidota.
UAGGGAAUCUUCGGCAAUGGGGGGAACCCUGACCGAGCAACGCCGCGUGAGUGAAGAAGGUUUUCGGAUCGUAAAGCUCUGUUGUUAAGGAAGAACGAGUGUGAGAAUGGAAAGUUCAUGCUGUGACGGUACUUAACCAGAAAGGGACGGCUAACUACGUGCCAGCAGCCGCGGUAAUACGUAGGUCCCGAGCGUUGUCCGGAUUUAUUGGGCGUAAAGCGAGCGCAGGCGGUUAGAAAAGUCUGAAGUGAAAGGCAGUGGCUCAACCAUUGUAGGCUUUGGAAACUGUUUAACUUGAGUGCAGAAGGAGAGAGUGGAAUUCCGUGUGUAGCGGUAAAAUGCGUGGAUAUAUGGAGGAACACCGGUGGCGAAAGCGGCUCUCUGGUCUGUAACUGACGCUGAGGCUCGAAAGCGUAGGGAGCGAACAGG